RNAcentral lists this ribosomal RNA (440 nucleotides) under uncultured bacterium. Its description in RNAcentral is "partial 16S ribosomal RNA". It matches the Rfam family "Bacterial small subunit ribosomal RNA", at positions 338 to 795 of the family's 1533-position model. The record is from RNAcentral.
CCUACGGGAGGCAGCAGUAGGGAAUAUUGCUCAAUGGGGGAAACCCUGACGCAGCAACGCCGCGUGGGGGAUGAAGGUUUUCGGAUUGUAAACCUCUGUUGUUAGAGAAGAAAAUGACGUUAUCUAACUAAUAAGCACCGGCUAACUCCGUGCCAGCAGCCGCGGUAAUACGGAGGGUGCAAGCGUUACUCGGAAUUACUGGGCGUAAAGAGCGCGUAGGCGGGAUCGCAAGUCAGAUGUGAAAUCCUAGGGCUUAACCAUAGAACUGCAUUUGAAACUGUGAAUCUAGAGUGUGGUAGAGGUAAGUGGAAGUCUUGGUGUAGGGGUGAAAUGCGUAGAGAUCAAGAGGAAUACUCGUUGCGAAGGCGACCUGCUAGAACAUAACUGACGCUGAGGCGCGAAAGCGUGGGGAGCAAACAGGAUUAGAUACCCCAGUAGUC